Molecule: ribosomal RNA, 605 nt
Filed under: Bacillus subtilis
Lineage: Bacteria; Bacillati; Bacillota; Bacilli; Caryophanales; Bacillaceae
Description: bacterial SSU rRNA
Rfam family: Bacterial small subunit ribosomal RNA
Source: RNAcentral
GAAAGCGUGGGGAGCGAAACAGGAUUAGAUACCCUGGUAGUCCACGCCGUAAACGAUGAGUGCUAAGUGUUAGGGGGUUUCCGCCCCUUAGUGCUGCAGCUAACGCAUUAAGCACUCCGCCUGGGGAGUACGGUCGCAAGACUGAAACUCAAAGGAAUUGACGGGGGCCCGCACAAGCGGUGGAGCAUGUGGUUUAAUUUGAAGCAACGCGAAGAACCUUACCAGGUCUUGACAUCCUCUGACAAUCCUAGAGAUAGGACGUCCCCUUCGGGGGCAGAGUGACAGGUGGUGCAUGGUUGUCGUCAGCUCGUGUCGUGAGAUGUUGGGUUAAGUCCCGCAACGAGCGCAACCCUUGAUCUUAGUUGCCAGCAUUCAGUUGGGCACUCUAAGGUGACUGCCGGUGACAAACCGGAGGAAGGUGGGGAUGACGUCAAAUCAUCAUGCCCCUUAUGACCUGGGCUACACACGUGCUACAAUGGACAGAACAAAGGGCAGCGAAACCGCGAGGUUAAGCCAAUCCCACAAAUCUGUUCUCAGUUCGGAUCGCAGUCUGCAACUCGACUGCGUGAAGCUGGAAUCGCUAGUAAUCGCGGAUCAGCAUGCCG